RNAcentral lists this ribosomal RNA (465 nucleotides) under Vreelandella stevensii. Its description in RNAcentral is "partial 16S ribosomal RNA". It matches the Rfam family "Bacterial small subunit ribosomal RNA", at positions 338 to 795 of the family's 1533-position model. Lineage: Bacteria; Pseudomonadati; Pseudomonadota; Gammaproteobacteria; Oceanospirillales; Halomonadaceae. The record is from RNAcentral.
CCUACGGGUGGCAGCAGUGGGGAAUAUUGGACAAUGGGGGCAACCCUGAUCCAGCCAUGCCGCGUGUGGGAAGAAGGCCCUCGGUUUGUAAAGCACUUUCAGUGAGGAAGAACGCCUGGUGGUUAAUACCCAUCAGGAAAGACAGCACUCACAGAAGAAGCACCGGCUAACUCCGUGCCAGCAGCCGCGGUAAUACGGAGGGUGCGAGCGUUAAUCGGAAUUACUGGGCGUAAAGCGCGCGUAGGUGGCUUGAUAAGCCGGUUGUGAAAGCCCCGGGCUCAACCUGGGAACGGCAUCCGGAACUGUCAAGCUAGAGUGCAGGAGAGGAAGGUAGAAUUCCCGGUGUAGCGGUGAAAUGCGUAGAGAUCGGGAGGAAUACCAGUGGCGAAGGAGGCCUUCUGGACUGACACUGACACUGAGGUGCGAAAGCGUGGGUAGCAAACAGGAUUAGAUACCCGUGUAGUC